This 321-nucleotide ribosomal RNA is filed under the name uncultured bacterium. RNAcentral's name for it is "bacterial SSU rRNA". It matches the Rfam family "Bacterial small subunit ribosomal RNA", at positions 134 to 470 of the family's 1533-position model. The record is from RNAcentral.
UACCGGGACAUAACGUCGGGAAACCGGCGCUAAUAUCCCAUGAGGUACUUCGGUAUCAAAGCUUCGGCGGUAGAGGAUGAGCCUGCGUCUGAUUAGCUAGUUGGUGAGGUAAUGGCUCACCAAGGCGACGAUCAGUAGCUGGUCUGAGAGGACGAUCGGCCACACUGGAACUGAGACACGGUCCAGACUCCUACGGGAGGCAGCAGUGAGGAAUAUUGGUCAAUGGGGGAAACCCUGAACCAGCGACGCCGCGUGUGGGACGAAGGGGCUCUGCCCUGUAAACCACUGUUGAGAGGGAAGAAAAGCUUUUGAAAAGCUGGG